CCUACGGGAGGCAGCAGUGGGGAAUUUUGCGCAAUGCUCGUAAGAGUGACGCAGCGACGCCGCGUGAAUGACGAAGGCCUUCGGGUCGUAAAGUUCUGUCGACAGGGAAGAAAAUGCCUAUAAGUAACUGUUUAUGUAUUGACGGUACCUGGAUAAGCAGCCCCGGCUAACUCCGUGCCAGCAGCCGCGGUAAUACGGAGGGGGCGAGCGUUGUUCGGAGUGAUUGGGCGUAAAGAGCACGUAGGCGGUGUUGUAAGUCAUUAGUCAAAGACCAGAGCUCAACUUUAGUAAGGCUAGUGAUACUAUAAAACUAGAGUAAGAGAGAGGAUUGCAGAAUUCCUGGUGUAGUGGUGAAAUGCGUAGAUAUCAGGAGGAAUACCGUUAGCGAAGGCGGCAAUCUGGCUGGAAACUGACGCUGAGGUGCGAAAGCGUGGGUAGCAAACAGGAUUAGAUACCCGGGUAGUC
RNAcentral lists this ribosomal RNA (465 nucleotides) under uncultured bacterium. RNAcentral's name for it is "partial 16S ribosomal RNA". It matches the Rfam family "Bacterial small subunit ribosomal RNA", at positions 338 to 795 of the family's 1533-position model. The record is from RNAcentral.